GCCAGGCGUGGUGACUCACGCCUGUAAUCCUAGCACUUUGGGAGGCUGAGGUGGGCGGAUCACCUGAGGUCAGGAGUUUGAGACCAGCCUGGCCAACAUGGUGAAACCCCGUCUCUA
Unclassified non-coding RNA from Pongo abelii (Sumatran orangutan), 117 nucleotides. It matches the Rfam family "Metazoan signal recognition particle RNA". From Rfam's summary of the family: The signal recognition particle (SRP) is a universally conserved ribonucleoprotein. It is involved in the co-translational targeting of proteins to membranes. The eukaryotic SRP consists of a 300-nucleotide 7S RNA and six proteins: SRPs 72, 68, 54, 19, 14, and 9. The record is from Ensembl. NCBI's taxonomy places the organism in Eukaryota, Metazoa, Chordata, Mammalia, Primates, Hominidae.